This is a long non-coding RNA of Alexandromys fortis (reed vole), 2211 nucleotides long. RefSeq lists it as uncharacterized. NCBI's taxonomy places the organism in Eukaryota, Metazoa, Chordata, Mammalia, Rodentia, Cricetidae. The record is from RefSeq and is a predicted model, not a curated record. The transcript is spliced from 3 exons.
UAUAUAGUUAGGCCUGGAGAAAUUCCAGAAGUCCACUCGCAGACUUUCAAAGCCGGGGCCACAGGCACAUGGACAAACCCCUUAGUCUGUUUGCUGAUCGGCUUACAGGCAGAACUGGUGAGAGCCGUUUGUUAGGGCAGUCGCAGCCCAGUUAGUGUUCGCUCUGCGUAUUUCUCAUCCAUAAUACAAUAAACAAAAAUGAACAACAGCAACAACAAAACACUCAGCAUGAUGGCUGUUGUUCGGAAUUCCACCAGCGUUUUCCAGGGGCUCACAACAGGAUUACACUGAAAAAAUUAAUCACGCAUUUUGGUGACUGUUGGGACCGUUUGGAGUCUUGGCCUCCACUUGCUCUCCCCUGCUAGUGACCUUUAUUGGCCUUCUGAUUUGAGCUUCUGAAAGCUGUGUCCAGCUCUGCUUCCUGAGCAUGUGUUGCCUUGUCCUUGAUUGAGGAACAGGAGAUGAGGUUGUCACCUGCUGGCCCACCUGACUAUGUUGGGUAUAUAAGCCUCCAUGGUACUGUUCAAUAAGGGACGUCUUUACCAGUGAUUAGAGCUGCGGGAGCUAUAGCACAGCAGGGCAAAGGAAUUCAUUUCCCGAUUCCGCCCCAGCCUCCUGAGGUAUACUGGUAUUUCCGGUACAAUUGCAGCAAAAUCAGAAUGUUUACUUAAUUAUUCACCGACCAAUAUACUUAAAACUCCAGCAGGAAAGACAACUUGGAAAGUCCGUGAAUAUUAUCUCUGGGGGCAGAAAGAGCUACAACUCUCAGUGUUAGGAUUAUGCUGGCCUUUCCUGUCACACUGCAGGAUGAAACCAGACAGUACCCUAUCUCUUUAAGAGACAAACUCUGCCCACUCCCAAUCUCUCUCUUCCAGCUGAGGCAAGCUUGUCUUGGCUCUCUCUCUCCCUCUCUUCCCACUGUUCUUCUGAAGAGACAGUUCUCUGUCUCUCCUCCCUCCUUUCUCUCUCUCUCUGUUUCUUUCUCCCUCUUUCUCUCUCUUGCCCAAUCACUGUCCCAACAUUCUUUAAAUAGACUCUAUGCCCAAGCUCUCUUUGCUUUUGGCUGUGUUUCUCAUCUGACAUGGGACCUAAUUAGGAUUCAGACUAAAAGAGGUAGUAUCUGUUUUGUGUAGAUCCUUCACUGCCUUUCAGCUUGUUUCACCCAAUAAAUUGUCUCCUAUAGGUGUAGCCCAAGAGGAAAAUCCUUUGGAAUGGAUUUAUCUACACCAUAAGAGCAUAAAAUACAAGCUUCUCACCUCACUUUAUUAGCAAAUCGUGGAACACCUGAUGUCAACAAUUAUAUGGAUUUGAUCAUGGCUGCAUUGUAUUACCUCUAACUAGCAGUGAGUUUUUAAGAAUGUUACAAAACUUUCAUGGAUUUUCAAAUUUGGUUUGCAGUUACUAUAGAAAGAUAGGGAAUCAUUAUCCAGCUAGUUAACUAUGUAAUUUCCUUAUAUGAACUGAAUUUGCGAUUAGAAAAACUGUCCAACCUUCUUCCAUUUCACAGACAGACACUUAUUUUAUUAAUGGUUCAUCUAAACCCUUAGGAGGGAAUUUAUGGUCCAGAUGUAGGGUAAAAGGACCAGCCUGGUCCUGAAAUCAGAGCCAGCGAAAGACGCACAUCCUGGUUAUGAAACCUGAACCAGUGAAAGAAACACUUUAGCCUUGAACCCGGAACCAAAGAAAUGCACACUGAUCCUGAAACCAGAGCCAAAGAAACACACCUUGACUCUGGAACCAGAGCCAGUGAAAGAAAUACACCUUGGCCCUCAGAAUAGAGUCAAAAGGCUAAAAAAUCAGUGAAAGAAACACAGUUUGGUCCUGAAACCAGAGUCAAAUAUGCCCCUGACCAACUAAACAUGAAACCAACCAAUCACUGAGCAUGAAAUCUAGUACCCUAAUCCUGAACCCAGAACCAGUGAAAGAAACACUUUAUCCCUGAUCCCAGAACCUAUGAAAUAUACUGUGAUCCUUAAACCAGAGCCAAACCCAAAACAAACCAAAACAAAAACCUCCACAUUUUGGCUCUAGAACCAGAGAUAGUAAAAGAAAUAAAUAUGCCUUAGCCUCCAAGAUAAAGCCAAAAUGCUAAAAAUGAACAGAAAAAAUUUAGCCCUGAAACCAGAGCCAACUCUGCCCCCACCUAAACCAACCAGUCCCGGAGCAGGAAAACUAACCAAUCCCUGGGCAGAAAAUUUGCUCCCUGGGAAA